Molecule: ribosomal RNA, 33 nt
Filed under: uncultured Thelephoraceae
Lineage: Eukaryota; Fungi; Basidiomycota; Agaricomycetes; Thelephorales; Thelephoraceae
Description: partial 28S ribosomal RNA
Source: RNAcentral
CUCUUGAACGUUGAUCUCAAAUCCAGGAGANAC